This 468-nucleotide ribosomal RNA is filed under the name Rhabditis sp. RA5. RNAcentral describes it as "SSU rRNA". It matches the Rfam family "Eukaryotic small subunit ribosomal RNA", at positions 87 to 590 of the family's 1831-position model. The record is from RNAcentral. Lineage: Eukaryota; Metazoa; Nematoda; Chromadorea; Rhabditida; Rhabditidae.
CUGCGAACGGCUCAUUAGAGCUUACAUAAAGUUUCUGGCUGCCUUUUAGGCUAUCUUCGACAAAUUGAAGCUAAUACAUGCAAACAUGUCUUCUUCGGAGGGCGCAAUAUUAGAACUACUGGCUUGCCGGCGGUUGAUUUCAAUUAUCGUUUAGAUAUCGGAAGGCGACUUCCGAUGGCCAUAAACUGUGUACGCCCUAUCACCCAGCAGGUUAAUCAUUCGCUAACCGGGGGUAUUACGGGUAACGGAGAACUAGGGUUCGUCUCCGGAGAAGAAGCCUUUGAAAGGCUACUACAUCCAAGGAAGGCAGCAGGCGCGUAACUUAUCCACUACCACAGUGAGAUAGUAACUAGUCUUAACUAUUAACUACCUUUUAGGUUAGUUAUGGUCCAUGAGUUGAGCCUAAAUAGCUCUUCGAGGACCAAGUGGAGGGCAAGUCUGGUGCCAGCAGCCGCGGUAAUUCCAGCU